ACUACGGGGCGCAGCAGUGGGGAAUAUUGCACAAUGGGCGCAAGCCUGAUGCAGCCAUGCCGCGUGUGUGAAGAAGGCCUUCGGGUUGUAAAGCACUUUCAGCGGGGAGGAAGGCGGUGAGGUUAAUAACCUCAUCGAUUGACGUUACCCGCAGAAGAAGCACCGGCUAACUCCGUGCCAGCAGCCGCGGUAAUACGGAGGGUGCAAGCGUUAAUCGGAAUUACUGGGCGUAAAGCGCACGCAGGCGGUCUGUCAAGUCGGAUGUGAAAUCCCCGGGCUCAACCUGGGAACUGCAUUCGAAACUGGCAGGCUAGAGUCUUGUAGAGGGGGGUAGAAUUCCAGGUGUAGCGGUGAAAUGCGUAGAGAUCUGGAGGAAUACCGGUGGCGAAGGCGGCCCCCUGGACAAAGACUGACGCUCAGGUGCGAUAGCGUGGGGAGCAAACAGGAUUAGAUACCCGAUAGUC
RNAcentral lists this ribosomal RNA (464 nucleotides) under uncultured Klebsiella sp. RNAcentral describes it as "bacterial SSU rRNA". It matches the Rfam family "Bacterial small subunit ribosomal RNA", at positions 338 to 795 of the family's 1533-position model. The record is from RNAcentral. Lineage: Bacteria; Pseudomonadati; Pseudomonadota; Gammaproteobacteria; Enterobacterales; Enterobacteriaceae.